This 28-nucleotide non-coding RNA is filed under the name Homo sapiens (human). The record is from RNAcentral. Lineage: Eukaryota; Metazoa; Chordata; Mammalia; Primates; Hominidae.
CUAUGGUGCUUCAUCGAUGAGAUAAGGA